RNAcentral lists this long non-coding RNA (735 nucleotides) under Setaria italica (foxtail millet). Its description in RNAcentral is "long non-coding RNA (SITA_LNC000111)". The record is from RNAcentral. Lineage: Eukaryota; Viridiplantae; Streptophyta; Magnoliopsida; Poales; Poaceae.
GGCCGGUCAAAGGUUCCCAGUACCUGCUUCUAGAACGGCGGCGACGCGGCUCCACGCGCGCCGAGGACGUGUGGAAGCUUCCGUCCUGUUCCAGCGUUCUCGAAGGCCUGCGCUGUGCUGGGCCUAGUCAUAGCGUUCUCCUUCCUUCCUUCCUUCCUUCCUAGGAGCAUACUUGUCAGAGGGACCGGGGACAUACUAGGCCAUGUUUAGUUACUCCCAACUCCCAACUUUGACACUAUGCAAAAAGAAGAUUCCCCAUCACAUCAAACUUGCGGUACAUGCAUGGAGUACUAAAUGUAGAUGAAAUUAAAAACUAAUUGCACAGUUUUGUUGUACUUUGCGAGACGAAUCUUUUGAGCCUAAUUAGUCAAUAUUUGGACAAUAAUUCACAAAUACAAACGAAACGCUACAGUGUGCUACAGUGCUGUAACAGUAAUUUGACACCUCCCAAAUUCCCCAACUAAACAAGGCCCUAGUCGCACGACUACUACUGUCUCUGUUACCAGAGUUUGAUUUCACAUCGGCUACUGUUGCCUUAUUCCCAGAUUGAACUCCUGCUAAUCCCCUCCCUAAACUCCUGCUAAUCCCCUCCCAGAAGAUGCAAAUUUCAAAUCAGCGCACAAAUACUCAACUGGCAGAUGAUACACCUCGAGACGGCCGGGCCGUCCAUCGGUCAACGCCCAGCGUACGGCUGGCGUGCCGCCGCUCGUGCGCCCGGGCGAAGCUGACAGGUGG